This 700-nucleotide ribosomal RNA is filed under the name uncultured phototrophic eukaryote. RNAcentral's name for it is "bacterial SSU rRNA". It matches the Rfam family "Bacterial small subunit ribosomal RNA", at positions 95 to 826 of the family's 1533-position model. The record is from RNAcentral.
GUGGCGGACGGGUGAGUAACACGUAAGAAUUUACCUUUAGGAGGGGGACAACAGCUGGAAACGGUUGCUAAUACCCCAUAUGCUUUCGAGUGAAAUGGAUUUUUCCGCCUAGAGAGAAGCUUGCGGCUGAUUAGCUUGUUGGUAAGGUAAUGGCUUACCAAGGCGACGAUCAGUAUCUGGUUUGAGAGGACGAUCAGACACACUGGAACUGAGACACGGUCCAGACUCCUACGGGAGGCAGCAGUGGGGAAUUUUCCGCAAUGGGCGCAAGCCUGACGGAGCAAUCUCGCGUGAGGGAUGACUGCCUAUGGGUUGUAAACCUCUUUUUUCAGGGAGGAAUUAAUGACGUGUACCUGAAGAAUAAGCAUCGGCUAACUCCGUGCCAGCAGCCGCGGUAAGACGGAGGAUGCAAGUGUUAUCCGGAAUCACUGGGCGUAAAGCGUCUGUAGGUGGUUUAAUAAGUCAACUGUUAAAUCUUGAAGCUCAACUUCAAAAUCGCAGUCGAAACUAUUAGACUAGAGUAUAGUAGGGGUAAAGGGAAUUUCCAGUGGAGCGGUGAAAUGCGUAGAGAUUGGAAAGAACACCGAUGGCGAAGCACUUUACUGGGCUAUUACUGACACUCAGAGACGAAAGCUAGGGUAGCAAAUGGGAUUAGAUACCCCAGUAGUCCUAGCCGUAAACAAUGGAUACUAGAUGUUGA